This 461-nucleotide ribosomal RNA is filed under the name uncultured Methanolinea sp. Its description in RNAcentral is "bacterial SSU rRNA". It matches the Rfam family "Archaeal small subunit ribosomal RNA", at positions 878 to 1338 of the family's 1478-position model. Lineage: Archaea; Methanobacteriati; Methanobacteriota; Methanomicrobia; Methanomicrobiales; Methanoregulaceae. The record is from RNAcentral.
ACCACAACAGGUAGAGCCUGCGGUUUAAUCGGACUCAACGCCGGGAAGCUCACCGGAUAAGACAGCGGAAUGAUAGCCGGGCUGAAGACUCUGCUUGACUAGCUGAGAGGAGGUGCAUGGCCGUCGUCAGUUCGUACUGUGAAGCAUCCUGUUAAGUCAGGCAACGAGCGAGACCCACGCCAACAGUUGCCAGCAUGUCCUCCGGGAUGGUGGGGACACUGUUGGGACCGCCUCUGCUAAAGAGGAGGAAGGAAUGGGCAACGGUAGGUCAGCAUGCCCCGAAUUAUCCGGGCUACACGCGGGCUACAAUGGUCAGGACAAUGGGCAUCAACACCGAAAGGUGAAGGCAAUCUCUUAAACCUGUCCUUAGUUCGGAUUGUGGGCUGCAACUCGCCCACAUGAAGCUGGAAUCUGUAGUAAUCGCGUCUCAAAAUGGCGCGGUGAAUAUGUCCCUGCUCCUU